AAGGCUGUACUUGUAUUAACAUAUAUGUUCAGAUCAUUCCUGAGAGAGAAGGGGUGUAGUAUCUCCAGAUGAGUGUGUGGUACCCUUCCUCACCAUGCCAACAAGAUGUUACUUCUUGUGGGGUCUUUGCCUUGAAAUUUGCUGAAUGUGUUCUGAAGGAGGAGUCGAUUGUCUUUUCAAAUACGGA
Molecule: non-coding RNA, 187 nt
Organism: Oncorhynchus mykiss (rainbow trout)
Lineage: Eukaryota; Metazoa; Chordata; Actinopteri; Salmoniformes; Salmonidae
Source: RefSeq, a predicted model, not a curated record